UCCACUGGGCAGCGAAGCACGGCAAUCUUGAGAUGGCAGAGAUGGUCGCCAAAGCAGGCGUCGAUGUCAAUGCUAAAUCGCAUUUGAGUUUCUUCCUGUGUAUAUGAAGAAUAUACUUGCUGACUCAGAUGGGAAACAUACGUAUUUGCUGCUUCCCACUCUUGCUAGCCCUGAGGAACAAACACAGCUAAGAGAAAAUGUGGACCUUGCUACAAUGAACUAUGUCUUUUGUGAAUUCUAGUUUGGACCUCUGCAAUGCAACUUACAAGAGGUUACAUCAUAAAGCCAGGAAGAAUUGGAGUUAGGGUAAAAUAUGGGUGCUUGCUUGAUUCAAAGAUUAACUUACCAUCAAUAUAUACUACCUCUGAUCCGUUAUUUAAAGCUACACAUUCCAACCAUACUGUGGGGAGCUCUCCUGCAUUACGCUGCAUGUCCUCUAAAAGGGCUUUUAAUUCUGUCCAGGAUCAGGUGCAUAGAACCGUGACCUGGUUAUUAAGUCCGGUUGCUGCAUCAUAAGUUGUUUUGUAACAGCUACUGGGAACACUUCCACUUUAGGUUCUUUUGCUAAAGGUGGGGUGCUUGGUGUUUUUUAAACUUUCGAGAGCUUCUCAAGGAUAAGAGGGGGGAGAAUAUAUGUAUUCUGUGGUUGCCAUUUGGCUGUGAGGUGGAAUUGAAGGUGUUGAUUAUGACAAACCCUAAAUUCCAUAGAACUAUUCUCCCCAGAGACAGCUGCUCUCAACAAACCAUGUUGCUGCAAUUGAAAUCAGCAUAUCUACCUCAGCUAAUUCCCCUCACAGAAAGGACGCUUCUGACAGGGCUCUUCAUCUUUGGAAUUCAUUACCCCCUUAUGCUGCUAAUCCCAGGCCAUAACAGUUGGCUUCAGGACGUACUGUGAAACCAUCUUUUAUCACAAAUAUUUUUGGAAAGAUGAGUGGACUAGUGCUGGCAUUCCCGUUGUGCAAGAUAACCUGACAGUAGAGGGCAGAUAGAGUCUGAGGCAGGUAUCCUUUAAUGUUUAAUAUUUAACUCUAAAAUAAACAAGCAAGACACCCCACAAUUC
Molecule: long non-coding RNA, 1060 nt
Organism: Pelodiscus sinensis (Chinese soft-shelled turtle)
Lineage: Eukaryota; Metazoa; Chordata; Testudines; Trionychidae
Source: RefSeq, a predicted model, not a curated record